RNAcentral lists this ribosomal RNA (1373 nucleotides) under uncultured bacterium. RNAcentral describes it as "bacterial SSU rRNA". It matches the Rfam family "Bacterial small subunit ribosomal RNA", at positions 28 to 1381 of the family's 1533-position model. The record is from RNAcentral.
GAUGAACGCUGGCGGCGUGCCUAAUACAUGCAAGUCGAGCGAACGGACGAGAAGCUUGCUUUUCUGAUGUUAGCGGCGGACGGGUGAGUAACACGUGGAUGACCUACUUAUAACACUGGGAUAACUUCGGGAAACCGGAGCUAUUACCGGAUAAUAUUUUGAACCGCAUGGUUCAAAAGUGAAAGACGGUCUUGCUGUCACUUAUAGAUGGUAUCCGCGCUGCAUUAGCUAGUUGGUAAGGUAACGGCUUACCAAGGCAACGAUGCAUAGCCGACCUGAGAGGGNGAUCGGCCACACUGGAACUGAGACACGGUCCAGACUCCUACGGGAGGCAGCAGUAGGGAAUCUUCCGCAAUGGGCGAAAGCCUGACGGAGCAACGCCGCGUGAGUGAUGAAGGUCUUCUGAUCGUAAAACUCUGUUAUUAGGGAAGAACAUAUGUGUAAGUAACUGUGCACAUCUUGACGGUACCUAAUCAGAAAGCCACGGCUAACUACGUGCCAGCAGCCGCGGUAAUACGUAGGUGGCAAGCGUUAUCCGGAAUUUUUGGGCGUAAAGCGCGCGUAGGCGGUUUUUUAAGUCUGAUGUGAAAGCCCACGGCUCAACCGUGGAGGGUCAUUGGAAACUGGAAAACUUGAGUGCAGAAGAGGAAAGUGGAAUUCCAUGUGUAGCGGUGAAAUGCGCAGAGAUGUGGAGGAACACCAGUGGCGAAGGCGACUUUCUGGUCUGUAACUGACGCUGAUGUGCGAAAGCGUGGGGAUCAAACAGGAUUAGAUACCCUGGUAGUCCACGCCGUAAACGAUGAGUGCUAAGUGUUAGGGGGUUUCCGCCCCUUAGUGCUGCAGCUAACGCAUUAAGCACUCCGCCUGGGGAGUACGACCGCAAGGUUGAAACUCAAAGGAAUUGACGGGGGCCCGCACAAGCGGUGGAGCAUGUGGUUUAAUUCGAAGCAACGCGAAGAACCUUACCAAAUCUUGACAUCCUUUGACAACUCUAGAGAUAGAGCCUUCCCCUUCGGGGGACAAAGUGACAGGUGGUGCAUGGUUGUCGUCAGCUCGUGUCGUGAGAUGUUGGGUUAAGUCCCGCAACGAGCGCAACCCUUAAGCUUAGUUGCCAUCAUUAAGUUGGGCACUCUAAGUUGACUGCCGGUGACAAACCGGAGGAAGGUGGGGAUGACGUCAAAUCAUCAUGCCCCUUAUGAUUUGGGCUACACACGUGCUACAAUGGACAAUACAAAGGGCAGCGAAACCGCGAGGUCAAGCAAAUCCCAUAAAGUUGUUCUCAGUUCGGAUUGUAGUCUGCAACUCGACUACAUGAAGCUGGAAUCGCUAGUAAUCGUAGAUCAGCAUGCUACGGUGAAUACGUUCCCGGGUCU